GACGAACGCUGGCGGCGUGCCUAAUACAUGCAAGUCGAACGAGAGCAACCGGUGCUUGCACUGGUCAAUCUAGUGGCGAACGGGUGAGUAACACGUGGGUAACCUGCCCAUCAGAGGGGGAUAACAUCCGGAAACGGAUGCUAAAACCGCAUAGGUCUUCGAACCGCAUGGUUUGAAGAGGAAAAGGGGCGCAAGCUUCUGCUGAUGGAUGGACCCGCGGUGCAUUAGCUAGUUGGUGAGGUAACGGCUCACCAAGGCCGUGAUGCAUAGCCGACCUGAGAGGGUGAUCGGCCACAUUGGGACUGAGACACGGCCCAAACUCCUACGGGAGGCAGCAGUAGGGAAUCUUCCGCAAUGGACGCAAGUCUGACGGAGCAACGCCGCGUGAGUGAAGAAGGUUUUCGGAUCGUAAAACUCUGUUGUUAGAGAAGAACAAGUGCUAGAGUAACUGUUAGCGCCUUGACGGUAUCUAACCAGAAAGCCACGGCUAACUACGUG
Molecule: ribosomal RNA, 498 nt
Filed under: uncultured bacterium
Lineage: Bacteria
Description: partial 16S ribosomal RNA
Rfam family: Bacterial small subunit ribosomal RNA
Source: RNAcentral